Molecule: ribosomal RNA, 583 nt
Filed under: uncultured bacterium
Lineage: Bacteria
Description: partial 16S ribosomal RNA
Rfam family: Bacterial small subunit ribosomal RNA
Source: RNAcentral
UGGGGAAUUUUGGACAAUGGGCGAAAGCCUGAUCCAGCAAUGCCGCGUGUGUGAAGAAGGCCUUCGGGUUGUAAAGCACUUUUGUCCGGAAAGAAAUCCUUGGCUCUAAUACAGUCGGGGGAUGACGGUACCGGAAGAAUAAGCACCGGCUAACUACGUGCCAGCAGCCGCGGUAAUACGUAGGGUGCAAGCGUUAAUCGGAAUUACUGGGCGUAAAGCGUGCGCAGGCGGUUUGCUAAGACCGAUGUGAAAUCCCCGGGCUCAACCUGGGAACUGCAUUGGUGACUGGCAGGCUAGAGUAUGGCAGAGGGGGGUAGAAUUCCACGUGUAGCAGUGAAAUGCGUAGAGAUGUGGAGGAAUACCGAUGGCGAAGGCAGCCCCCUGGGCCAAUACUGACGCUCAUGCACGAAAAGCGUGGGGGAGCAAAACAGGAUUAGAUACCCUGGUAGUCCACGCCCUAAAACGAUGUCAACUAGUUGUUGGGGAUUCAUUUCCUUAGUAACGUAGCUAACGCGUGAAGUUGACCGCCUGGGGAGUACGGUCGCAAGAUUAAAACUCAAAGGAAUUGACGGGGUCAUAGCUG